Pelobates cultripes (western spadefoot toad) is the source of this 312-nucleotide non-coding RNA. NCBI's taxonomy places the organism in Eukaryota, Metazoa, Chordata, Amphibia, Anura, Pelobatidae. The record is from the annotation of a GenBank genome assembly.
GUUAUUGUAGAGGAUCUAAUAUGUGUGCUUAUGGUAUGUAGUGUUUAGGGUUACCAGUUUGUGCAGGUGAUGCAGUGUGUUUGUGUGUAGUGGAAGCAGUGUGUAUUUGUGUAUAAGGGAUGUAUUAUGUGAUUCUGGUUGUGUGUAAGGGAUGCAUUGUGCGAAUCUGUGUUUGUAUGCAUAAGGGAUGCAAGGUGUGUGUCUGUAUGUGUGUGCAUGAGAUGCAUUGUGUUUCUGUGUGUAUGUAAGAAAAGAAGUGUGUGUGUUUGCAUGCGUGUGUACGGGUUUGCAUUGUCUGUUUCUGUGUGUGUG